RNAcentral lists this small RNA (298 nucleotides) under Castor canadensis (American beaver). Its description in RNAcentral is "7SK RNA (ENSCCNG00000024973.1)". It matches the Rfam family "7SK RNA", at positions 1 to 258 of the family's 331-position model. Rfam says of the family: 7SK was discovered as an abundant small nuclear RNA in the mid-70s but a possible function has only recently been suggested. Lineage: Eukaryota; Metazoa; Chordata; Mammalia; Rodentia; Castoridae. The record is from RNAcentral.
GGAUGUGAGGGCGAUCUGGCUGCGACAUCUGUCACCCCAUUGAUCGCCAGGGUUGAUUCGGCUGAUCUGGCUGGCUAGGCGGGUGUCCCCUUCCUCCCUCACCGCUCCAUGUGCGUCCCUCCCGAAGCUGCGCGCUCGGUCGAAGAGGACGACCAUCCCCGAUAGAGGAGGACCGUUCUUCGGUCAAGGGUAUACGAGUAGCUGCGCUCCCCUGCUAGAACCUCCAAACAAGCUCUCAGGGGGUGGUGCCUGAGCCCUGUCACCAUGACCUAUCCACUGUCCCAGGAGACUGGAAACU